RNAcentral lists this ribosomal RNA (485 nucleotides) under uncultured bacterium. RNAcentral describes it as "bacterial SSU rRNA". It matches the Rfam family "Bacterial small subunit ribosomal RNA", at positions 29 to 507 of the family's 1533-position model. The record is from RNAcentral.
AACGAACGCUGGCGGCGCGCCUAAUACAUGCAAGUCGAGCGAGAAGGUGUAGCAAUACACUUGUAAAGCGGCGAACGGGUGAGGAAUACAUGGGUAACCUACCCUCGAGUGGGGAAUAACCAGCCGAAAGGUUGGCUAAUACCGCAUACGAUUCUCGGACUGCGGUUCGGGAAAGAAAGCGAUACCGUGGGUAUCGCGCUCUUGGAUGGGCUCAUGUCCUAUCAGCUUGUUGGUGAGGUAACGGCUCACCAAGGCUUCGACGGGUAGCUGGUCUGAGAGGACGAUCAGCCACACUGGCACUGCGACACGGGCCAGACUCCUACGGGAGGCAGCAGUAAGGAAUAUUGCGCAAUGGGCGACAGCCUGACGCAGCGACGCCGCGUGGGGGAUGAAGGUCUUCGGAUUGUAAACCCCUUUCGGGAGGGAAGAUGGGACGGGCAACCGUUCGGACGGUACCUCCAGAAGCAGCCACGGCUAACUUCGUG